Molecule: small nuclear RNA, 106 nt
Organism: Sorex fumeus (smoky shrew)
Lineage: Eukaryota; Metazoa; Chordata; Mammalia; Eulipotyphla; Soricidae
Source: RefSeq, a predicted model, not a curated record
GCACUUUCUUCAGCAGCACAUAGACUAAAAUUGGAAUGAUAUAGAAAAGAUUAGCAUGGCCCUGCACAAGGAUGACACGCCAGUUCAUGAAGCAUUCUAUAUUUUU